UAUAAGAUCAGGUAUACAUGAAUGAAAUGCAGAUAGUACAGCAAGUGACAUUGACAUUUAUUAAGAAAAUCUAAUUUUGGCUCACUUGUCUGUGUUAACAUAGUACAUAAACAACAGAGUACAAAGUACUGAAGUCACAGGAUCUUCGCAGGCUGGACACCAGGCUGUGAAAGCUACCAGACAUCUUUGGAUGUGGAGGUAUUGGCUCCAGGCCGGUUUCAUAGGGAGGAGAACUAAAUUAUUUGGAGAAGCUGCUAUGUGCUGGGCACUCUGCUAGGUGUUUUACCUAUUUUUAUUUGUACCAUCACAUGAAAGCUCUGUGGGGCACGAACUGUCUUUGCCAGAUUGAUAGUGAGCUGUGUGUGUGUGUGUGAUGGUGUGAUUUGGCUGAAGCCUCAAAGCCAGUAGGUGGCUAAACCAGGACUGAAGGCACAGCCACCUCCCAGACUGUGUGCUUCCUUCUCUCCCACAUCCGCCUCACUGAUUGCUAUAAAUGCAGGUUGUUUAUACCACUUAAGUUUCGAGAAGGAGCCACUUCUCAAUAUAAUCGCAGAGUGUGGGUCUAAGGAAAUAUUUUUGAAAAACGUUUUCUUCAGUGUGCAACGGUCAGUAAGAAUCAGCCAUCCAUAACUUCACUCAUGAGUAUAUUUUGAAUGAAAUGUUUUUGUUUCUGUUAUCAUUAUGGAAAACUAACCUACAGAUUUCAUGUAUAAACACUUCUUUUUAUUCCGUAGAUCUUAUCAGGUUUAUAAGCUUUAGCAUCACUUUAAUUCUUAUUAAAUGUUAACUUGAUGCUAUUAAAUGCCAUCUUUACUAGGAUUGUCCUGAGGUUUUGGGUGCACAAAAUACUUCAAGUAUACAAUUCCAAAGUUACAGGUCCCAUUCAUAAGCAAUUUUGUAGUUGCAAAUUCUAUUACUGCUACUAUGCAGAUUGUAAUUUAAAAAUCAUUUUUAUUAUUCUUAAUCUAUCAACAAUAAUCCAGAGUGCCUUCAACAGAGAUAUUCAAAAGUAGAAAUGGAGAAAAAGUAAGUUAGGGGAAAAGUAAAAGACUAUAAUACUAAACAUCACUGUUAACCCCAAAUUAUCUAAUAUAUGAAUUUAAAAAAAAAGACUUUCUUUUGUUACAAUUAUAAAAAUUAAUACAUGCUGUUGCCAAAAAUUAAGAAAAAGCACUAAUAAAAAAUAAAAAUAGCAAACCUGACAUUUUCAUGCAUUUUCCCAAAGUUUCAUAUUUACAAUAUUGGAGAUUAAACAGUUUUUUAGGAUGAAUGUUUUAAGAAUAGGCAAACUACCAUCAACUUUACAAGUUUGAGUGUAUUAAAUAUAUUUCUUCAUAUAUACAUGUAGGCAAGCAAAUACUUGCCACUGAUACUAGUUUAACAACGUUGUUUUAAAUGAAAUGAUAUUCAGUUUUGCAUAUGCUGAAAAAUGAUAAAUCUCAUAACUUCUGGACCCUGGACUUAAAUGCACCUGUAAGAAGCUACCCACAAAAAAGCUAAUUUCUGAUGGUUGUCUUGUCUCUCACGUGCAGAGACAGGAUAACCUUUUUUUACUUGGGAAGAUAAAUGUCAUGGUAAGUGUCAUUUUGCAACAUGGGAAAAUGUCAGAACAAUGCUUCCUGGUAUCCUCUGAAUGCUGGUGAUCCCUGCCUACCAUAUUGUGUCCUUUCCCAUUUUGUGUGUUCCUGUAGCUUUCUUCAAACUAGAGGAGGGUUUAGACCAGGCUGGUUCUAUCAGUUACAGUUAACUCAUCCCCAUCCCCUCCUCCAACAGAAUAAUUUUAAAUUUUAAAAGCCAUACAAAUAGAACUAAAUCUGGGUCUACUGGCCAAUCCUUGUUUCUAAUCAUAUAGAAGAAAGCACAGAUCCAGAUGUAAACAACUAGGAUGCAUGGACAGAGAUUCUUAACUAGAGAUUCAUAUAUAGAAUUCACAAAUCAUAAUGUAUUCACUAUUGGUUCAGUGAGGGCUUCCAUAUAGUUCUUCCUUACUAUCCUGUUUUUCUUACACAGUAUUGUUUUUCCAGAUGAGAGGUACACUCUGCUCCAAGCCAUCACCUAUUCUAGGAACUCUAGAAAGUCUUUCAUUUCUCCUAUAUAAUGGUUGUGCCUGUUGUGCCCUUCCAGACUCUGCAGGUGGUGGGGCUGUGCAGGGAGUGGGUUCAAGAAAGUCAUGGAUAACAAUCUCUAUGGUUGUUAACUCUAAACCUCCACCCACAAAAGUCACCAGGAUUCUGAGCCCCCCACAUGCACAUUCACGCUCCUUGGCCUGAGUGAUUGGUGCAGAGGGAUAUUGACUACCAUGUGGCCCUAGCACUUUUGCCUUCAUGGGUCCCCUCCUCCAUUAAAAAAAAAAAAAAAGUCAAAAGUCGCAUCUUAUGACUGCGUUGUUAUAAAGACAAAUGUAAUCCAGGCUGGAUUUAUUAUUACACAUCCAUUAUUAUAACAGUCAUUUUGGGGGCUCUGAUUUUAAGAGAGAUUAAAACAUUUUUAUGGGCCCUUAAAAGCAUCUAGUGCCCUAUGUACUGUGUCCACAGUGCCUAAUGCCUACAUUGAGCCUGGGUCAUGUCUUUUCAAGAGUCAGUGUGGCGUCCCCAGGUCUGCUCUGCUGUCAUCUAUGGGGGCUCUAUUUUGGCGGUGGUUGUUCCCACCCUAACAGGCCCCUUUGCUAUGGCCACUGCUAUCACUAUUUUUGUUAGGAUUCAGGGAGUCUCCCCUAACAGUACUUACAAAUCUUAUUGGGUGCCCAAUCAGUAGCUUUUAUCUUGUAGUUCUUAAAACACACUCAGAAAAUCUGGAACAUUUAGGCCGGAGGCAGAAAAGAUUGCUGUGUAAAAUUGAUGGGAUUCUUAAAAUGUAAUCUCUCCACACCAGACAGCAAGGCUAAGCACUUCAUUCUCUCCUGCCUCAGGGUGUGUUCCUGACCAUCCAGGAGCACUUCUGAGAAAGUUGAGUCACCCUGUGUCUCUACUUUUAUUAAAAAAAAACAGCCCUCAAUGACUAGAGUCACCAACUGGUUCCAAAGUUUUCCUCACUGUUUUUUUCUUUUUUUUUUUCUUUUUUUUUUUUUUUUUAAUUUUUUUUUUCAACAUUUAUUUAUUUUUGGGACAGAGAGAGACAGAGCAUGAACGGGGGAGGGGCAGAGAGAGAGGGAGACACAGAAUCGGAAACAGGCUCCAGGCUCUGAGCCAUCAGCCCAGAGCCUGACGCGGGGCUCGAACUCGUGGACCGCGAGAUCGUGACCUGGCUGAAGUCGGACGCUUAACCGACUGCGCCACCCAGGUGCCCCUCCUCACUGUUUUUUUCAACUUCUGUUCCUCAAGAGAGAAACAGCACUGCCUUGCACUCCAAAUUCCUGAGUUGUGCAUGAAGAUUAGCCUCCUCCCAGGGACCUGGUUAUAAUCCUCUAUUUUGUAAAAUGGUUUCUGAUUGUGUCUCAUCAAAAAACUGCCUUGUUGGGGCGCCUGGGUGGCGCAGUCGGUUAAGCGUCCGACUUCAGCCAGGUCACGAUCUCACGGUCCGUGAGUUCGAGCCCCGCGUCGGGCUCUGGGCUGAUGAUGGCCCAGAGCCUGGAGCCUGCUUCCGAUUCUGUGUCUCCCUCUCUCUCUGACCCUCCCCCGUUCAUGCUCUGCCUCCCUCUGUCUCAAAAAUAAAUAAACGUUAAAAAAAAAAAAAACAAAAAAACAAAAACUGCCUUGUGUGGGUGGAGACUAUGCUCAUUUCUUUUGAACCAUUUUGUACGAUUAGGUAUAAAAUAGACACUCAAGUUUACUUAAUACAUACAAGUAUUAGAUGCUGUUUUCAAGUUAUUUAAGAUACUGAAAUCACAUAAUAUGGCCAACUUUGACAGGAAGUGAAUUCUGAAUUAGAUAAAAAGUCUUAAAGACAUUUAAAUAAGUUUCAAGCAUCUAAAUAAAAAUUCAUUAAUAUUAUGUUGCCAAGUAAAUAUGUUUGAAAUUUGCUCUGAAGGACAGAUAAGACUUAUUUUUAAUUAACAAGAUCCAUUUGUCCACAAUUUGCCAUUUGUUUGUUCUGUUGAGAAGGUUAAACAUUCUCCCGCCUAAGCCUAAUUGUCACUGUGUCCCUGGGGCUUAUUUACCUGUGUGCUUAGCAAGCUUUCUUGACAAAAGGUCAAGGUGACAGCACUCGGUUCUCAUUCACCUAUAACCAGUGAUGAAUUGGUUAAGUUUACUAUCACGUUUACUCUGACUAAUGUGGCUCUAAAUUACUUAGCACCUAUUUUAUCUCAACAUUGAGAUAAAUAUAAACAAUAUAUAUUUACAUAUUUUAUUUAAUAUAUAUUUAUAUAUUAUGUAAAUAAUAUAAAUUUGAUAAUUAAGAAGUAAAUGUAGAAUAAAGUAUUGUUUUCUUGUUUUCUAUGAUAAAUCCAAAAUUUGUUAUUUAAAGUUAUAUUUUAUAAUAUAUUUAUAUUUUAGAGACUUUUAAUAAUAUGUGAAAUACACAACCAAAAAUGUAAUCUUAAUUAAAGGUUACUCUUGUUACUUUCAGUCCCUUGUUAAAUAUCUCAGAUGAUUUGCAAAACAAGGUACUUUUCUGGGGUUAUUUAUAAGAAAAAGGAAACCAGUGAAAAACACAAAGUCCUAAAGAUUACCUUGUUAUUAUUUUCUUUUUGAAAAAUGUCUCCCCAAAUAUAAGUACUCCAGACUGCUUGAAUCUUACUUGCACAAAUGGAUGGAUGUCCCAACAUUCAAGAGAAAGUAUGAUAAUUAUUCUUCACCAGCAUGGGUGCUAGAAUAGUUGCUUCGACUAAUCUGAAUCAAUGGUGCUUUGAGGGUAAGGAAGUUGAGACCUGGCCUCUUUCUGAGAAGAAUUAGGAGAAGAGGUCUUGAGGUCUGGUUUCUAAGCAUAUGCAACAGCCAGGUUAGUGCAGUAUGCAAGAUCUUAGACUGUUGAAGGUAGGUGGGAAGGAAACUUUGGAGGAACCAUGUCACAAAAAUAAAAUAUGGUUUCUUUAUCAUUUCUGUCUUUUCCAGAUUUUCUAAGAUUGGAAAAAUUUCCAAAAUAAAUACAAUAAAUAAGAAUCCUUGUAGGUAAACAUGUGGUUAAGACCAUGAAACAGUUUCUGUGAAACUUACUAAUCAGUGAUUAGAUGCAUCCCCCAACUUCUUGCCCCUAAUAAGUAAUAUAUCCAUAUACCAAGUCAAAAACAAGUCACAAGAAAGAAUUUCAUCCCCCUACUAAAUUGGAGACCUUUAAAUGUUGACAGUUAUCUCAGAGCAAAGAGACUGAGUCCUCACACCCCUUUUAAAAUAGAUGGAAAGGCCAUAUAUUAAUAUAUUGCUACCAAAUUAUUGACUUCGAGAUAGCAAAUUUAUCCAGAUGUCACAAGGAAGAAUUAUACUGCAUCUGUUUUUUUUUCUAGAGGAGGACUAUUAGCUAGUGAAGUGGAAUUUGUCCCCUUUAUUAAUGUUUCAGGUAAAUUCUAUUGCUAAUUUUUGAACAAGAGUAGUGGACUUGGAGCCUGAGCACCCAGUACCCUUCUUUGCGGCUUUCCUCAUUUUCUGGAAGGUGCAAGUGUUUUUACCAGCAUGUUCCCCAGUCACCAAAUGCUCUAGUUUUAUUGACAUAACUUAAGAAAAGUAAAUUAAGAAACUAGGCCAAUUCUAGCCAAGAAAGUCUCAGCUAAGGUAUUCCAUCUGCCUGACUUCCUUGAAACAGCUCUAAGAGAGAAGCUGAGGCUGUGGGAAUUCCUAUUCUAAAACUCUGGAUCAGUCUCUGGCACCUCUGCUUACCUAGAUAGUCCUCUGGGAGUCAUUGGUAAUGUGUGGGUUGGCUCCUCCCUAAUGCCUCCCUGACCCUUGAAAGGGAAUGAAUAGUCUCUCUCACCUUGUGGAUAAGAGUUAGGGAAAGAAUGAAGACACCUUGGAGCUGUGAACUCAAAUGAGUGUGUGGCCAGGUAUGGUUGAAGGGAUUACCAGUUAAUUGACCCCGUGCAGCCUCCACAGUCUUUGGAAGAGAAAGAGGGUUGGCCAUGCAGCAUGUGGGCACCAACACUGGGACUGAAGUCAGAAGACAGAAGUUUUAAUCCCAGCUCUGCCUUUUAUACAUUAUUUUCUCUAAACCUUCAUUUUACUUUCUGAAAAUCAGAUACAGUACUUCACAAAUUUGUGAGAAUUAAAUAAGAUUAUCUAUGAAAGCACUUGCACAAUGCCUGUUACAUUGUAGAUAUUCGAUAAAAAUUAGUCAACUAUGAACUGUUAUUGCUGAGCUCAUGGGCUCCAUGGCCUAAUUGCCCUUAUGAGAUGGAUGGCAAAAGAUGCAAUAUUAUGUUUGUGAGAUUCAUCCAUGGAGUAAGUGUUAUGACAUUCUUACCACUGUGCAGUAUUCCAUCAUCUGAAUAUACCACCAUUCAUAUGAAUGAAUAUUUAUCCAUUCAACUCUUGAUGGACAUUUGGGUUGCUUCUGGUUUUUGGCUAAUGUAGAAAACACUGUAAUGAAUUUGAGUUUGGAAGCCACAGAGAAUAUAUGAGGAGCAAACAACUGAAAAAUAGAGGUGUAAAGAGUAAACAGACUUCCAUAACAGCAACAGAGGCAGAGAAUAGUCACAGUACAUAUAAGAGGUCUUAUCCAUGAGCAAAUUAAGUCUGAAUCUCUGCAGUCAACAAUCAAACACCAGGGUUGGGAUGACCUAAACCAAAAGGGACUAGUAACUCGCAGAAAUCAAGGAUCAGAAAGCAAGACUGGGACAUUGAAUCUAGCAACCAGUGGAUAACGAGAAACCAGUUUCUAAUGAGCUGGGAUUAAUAAACGUCAUGGGCUGAGCUGUUCCCUCCCACCCCCUUCCAAAUUCAUAUGUUGAAGGCCUAUCUCCCAGUACCUCAGAAUGUGACUCUAUUUAGAGAUACGAUUUUAAAAUGAGGUAUUAGGGCGUUCUCUAAUCCAAUAUGAAUGGUAUUCUUUUAAGAAGAGGAAAACAGGACACAGAAGAAAGACCAUGUGAAGACAUAGAGAGAAGACAGCCAUCUAGAAGCCAAGGAGAGAGGCUUCAGAUGAAGCCAACUCUGCCAACUCCAUGAUCUCAGACUCCUGGCCUCCAGGACUGUGAGAAAAUAAAUUUUUGUUGGUUAAGCCAUGCAGCCUGUGGUACUUGUUAUGGAAGCUCCAGUAAGCUCAUAGAUUAAGUAAACAACUACUGAUUACAAAGUGGUCUUCCUUUGGUACCUCAGAAAACUGUUUAGAAAUAUCCAAAGACAAUCAGUAUGUAGCAGGGUUAUUUAUAAGCUUUUGCAGAGAAUUUCUUUUGUUACUUCUAAUCUGCUCAGAGACUUCUAGAUACUGCAAACUAGACAUUCUGAACGCAGGUGGCCACAAUUGGCCACUAUUGUAGUGUCCUGUCAGGGACUAUGACCUACUUGUCAGGGAGAAUUGCCUAAAAGAAACUCAGAUGAAGAUCGUGCCUGGAGUGGUCAGCCUGCGCCAGCAGGAGCUGUGCUUCUCAAACUGAAUUGAGGUUUCUGCCACAUGACCUCAAAUUAUAGUUUGGAACUUCUUGAAAAGAAUUUUCUUGUAAAAAAGCAUUUCACUUUUAAUUUCAAAAUCUGACUUGUCCAAGGAAGUUAUUUAUUCCCAGCUAAAAGUUUAUUAAAUUAUAUACAUCUUAGAGACUUCAAUUAGUUAAUAUGUACAUCAGUUAAAAUAGUUGAUAUGUACAUAAAUAUAGAACAGCUGAAAAAAAUAGAAUAAUUGGGAAGUAAUCAUGUAUUACAGGUAGGUUUUGUUUUUUUUUUUUUCUUUCCCACAAGCUCUUGCUAAUAUCUCUGCAGUUUAUUUUGUGGCAGAGCUUAUGGCUUGUCUCUGGCUGUCAGAUAAUAGCCUGGACUGUUCUGUAUGAAGACGUCAGCUUGGGACUUUAAAGGAAUCAGGAUUUCUGGAGUGCCUGAAUGUUUUAAAUGAAGUCAGUUUUCCUCUUUCUAAUCACCAUAAAUCUGUAACUCACAUUUCUAUUAUUAUGCAGGUGACACAUAAAACAGUUCAUUUUACUCUUCUGUCAAACUUUCCGGCUAAAAUCACAGUCCUGAUUAACUCCAAAUGUAGGACACUGUUAUAAAUAUCAAUAGAUGUAUGAAAUUUGCUCUUGAAGUUACCACUUAAAGACCUAUUAAAAAGAAAGAACAACCUCUCGAUUCUCUCCCCUACCUUGUGGAUGGACACCCAUGAAGACGGGAGGCUGUGUUGAAAGGACAACCAGGUGGACCAUUCAGCGAGUCAGUAUUCUAGUGGUUUUGAAGCCAGUGUCUCUAUUGUGUCUAGACCCAUGUCCUGUGCUCUAUAUUACAUGUUGCCUUUUUUGGAAGUUCUCCUUCAACUGACAAAACGGGAAGGGAAGGAAAUGGCUCAAGCUCCUACCUUUCCUUUGGUAUUAUUCCAUUUGCUCAUCUAUCAACUCCAAGCUGCCAAGGGACACUCUAACCCAGUGGUGUGUGGCAACAUGGCUUUAUAUACAUAUGGCUACUGAGGCUAAUUAGUUGGGUUCUGUGUUCACAGAACAUGGGGCAUGAAGUUGGAAACCCAGGGUUUAAUACUCAGAGACUACCCUUUCCGUUCUUGUGUGACCUAAGGCAGAGAAUUUUGUUUUCUCUAGGUUACUAGUGGGAAUGAUACUAUAAACUGCUUCACUGACUCUGCAGGGUUUUUGUGAUAAUCAACUAGGUGAUAUGUAAAAGUGAGCAUUCAGUAGGCUCUAACAAUUCUAUAAAUCAGCCAAAUCUCAUUUGUUAAGUAAAUUAUUUUCUAUAUGUAUUUGAGAGUCUAUAGUAUCUAAAAGAACUAUUUAUUAUUUUGAGAGUAAUUUGAUAAUGCCACACUACAACGAGAUGAAAAAGUUAAUGAACUUGCCCUAACAAUAGAAAUCCAAAGCUAGUCUAGAUCUGGCCAAUUCAAGCAACAACUGCAAAACUCCAAGGUACCAUUAGAUUGCUAAAGAAUUCACAGGGUCUUUUAUGUGCUCUAGGACUGACAAAUAUAGAGCCAUAUUAGGAAAUGUAUUCAACCAAAGUUAUAUAAUCACGAUAACAAAGAUGACUCUCAACUUUCAAAGUCUAAGAAAGGAUUCAGUGUAGAGAACCUUGAGAUUAUUGAAACAUUUCCAGCAGUUCUAAAAGUAUAUGUUUCUACUAAUUAGUUCAUUGGUUUGUCUGAUGAAUUAUUAAUAGGGACCAUAUUCAUAUCUUGUUUCUAAUUCUGAAGAACUAGAACAGUUUGAUGAACCAUUUAGUUCACAAAAGUGUUGGGUCAUUUUUACAUUCUGCUUCAGGCAGAUUGUAUGUGUCUCCUAUACUGGAAAUAUGUUCAUAAUCUGUGUCCCAAGUCACUAUAAAUAGGCAGAAGAGUAAUUUGAUAAUGUUAAUUUUAAGCUGCCUAUGAAGUUUUUCUGAAUGUCUUAAAAAUAGAUUCUCUGCUAUCCUCUAAAUUUUUUUCCUCCAAACUCUGAGAUAUAUAUAUAUCAAAAUAGAUUAAAUUAACAUUUAAAAGAGAUUUGGCCUAAACUCAUUUCAUCUUGCUAAAUAAUACAGUAUGGUCUUUCAAGUUCAAAGAUAAAAAAGCAACUACAUGGUACAGAUAUUUCAUUAGACUGAGUGAAAUUACACUAAUUGUAGGUUGAUGUUAUAUGUACAGAAAAAAGUUAAUUACUUAACAUGAAGAUCCUAGUUGUUUCCAUAUCAACAUAUGCCAAAUUUUAUAAAACUUUUAAAAGUUUCCCAGAAAGUAUAAGAGGUCUUGGAUUCUCUACCUAUUUCUUUUUUUUCAGUUUUUAUUUAUUUAUUUUGUGGGAGAGAGAGAGAGAGAGAGAGGGAGAGAGAGACACGAGUGGGUAAGGGGCAGAGAGAGAGGGAGAGAGAGAAUCCCAAGCAGGCUUGAACCCACAAACUGUGAGAUCAUGACCUGAGCUGAAAUCAAGAGUCAGAUGCUUAACCAACUCAGCCACCCAGGGGCCUCUCUACUUAAGCUACUCCUAUAAACACUAAAUUGAAGAAAGCUCCAAAUGGUUUAAACACCUAUCCAAAUCAAUUUAUCUGAAAAUUUACAGUUACUCCUCUUUCCCCCCCCACCAACAUUAACAAUACCACAUUAUCUCCUUCCUUCUAGCCAAUUAAUCUGUUCAGGUACAGUAAAACAAAAGCCUAAUUAACCAGCAUUCUCAAUUAACUUUUCCAGAAAAUUUCAUGUUUAGAAUAAAAAUUAACUUACAAGCAAAUAAGCUCAUUUGAAAGAUUCUGAAGAUUCCAAGUUACGUACCACAGUCAGUCUAUAUUCAUUCAGCCCAUCUCUGACACCUGGGGACUAUUCAAUCAGGAAAGAUGCACCAGAGUAAUAGCCCCGAGGCCUGUAAUACCCCCAUUCUUCAAAGAAAGAAUUUGGUAUAGUGUAUUGCACUUAGUGAUGCAGAAAGAAGCAGGAAUACAUUUUAGAAACAUUUGCCGCUUUAAAAAAAUUUUUUUUUUCUCCUUUAGUCAAUCUUGAUGUGAUGAAAAAUUUCAAUUAAAUAUGACAUUCAGGGGCGCCUGGGUGGCGCAGUCGGUUAAGCGUCCGACUUCAGCCAGGUCACGAUCUCGCGGUCAGUGAGUUCGAGCCCCGCGUCGGGCUCUGGGCUGAUGGCUCAGAGCCUGGAGCCUGUUUCCGAUUCUGUGUCUCCCUCUCUCUCUGCCCCUCCCCCGUUCAUGCUCUGUCUCUCUCUGUCCCAAAAAUAAAUAAAUGUUGAAAAAAAAAUUUUUUUUUUUUUAAAUAUGACAUUCAAAUGGCUGUGAGUGUUCUGGUUAAUUGAAACGCUGUCGUAUAUCACUAGAUUAAAAACACCAAGAUUUCUUUUUAAUUUCUUAAACACUGCUUUUCCUCAAAUGUUACCAUCAAGACGAUCAGUUAUUUUAUUCAUUUUUUAAAUGUUUUUAUUUUUAUAUUUGAGAAAGAGAGAGUUCAAGCAGGCAGAGAGUGAAAGAAAGAGAGGGGGGAGAGAGAGAGAGAGAGAGAGAGAGAGAGAGGAGCUGAAGCAGGCUCUGCGCCAACAGCAGUGAGUCCGAUUUGGGGCUCGGGCUCACAAACUGUGAGAUUGUGACCUGAGCCAAAGUUGGAUGCUCAACUGACUGAGCCACCCAGGUGCCCUAAGAAGAUCAAUUAUUUUAAAGGUCUACUUCCUGUUUUUCCCAUUAGUUCAUCACAGAUCACAGUUGCUUUUAGGUAUAACACAUAUAUAUUCUGUCACUUAAAUGUAUGUAUUGUAUAUCUAUCCAUAUUUAUAUCUAUACCCAUAUGCAAAUCAUGGCCAACUUAAUGCAGCAGUGUAAAAAAAUUGAGAUUCAUUUUCUAGUGUUAUUUCCAUUUAUAAUAAAUUGUGUACAGACCUCAUUACAAAUGUGCUUUAAGAGAUUUUAAAUUUCAGUAAAAACACAAUGUACUCUGUUGUAGAACUUUCUAUGUUAAAGUCAUCAAGAUUUAGAAAUUCCAGAAAUAUUUUUUUCUGCCUGACCUUUCCAACAACUUUAAAAAACAAUUAUUUCAGUGGGCUUAGAGUUACUCUGACCUUUUCUUUGAAAAGGAGAAACGAAGUUGUUUGCAUUUUUCCCCUCAUUAAAAAAAAUUCUUGUCUUAGAGAAGACUUAAUUGGAAAUAGAAGUGUACUUCUUAUCUUUGGAUAUUUUAAUACCAUAGUGAUUUCAGGUACAGCAAUGACACAAACUAUGCCCCAGUAAAAGAAAGCGACUGACAGUUUUUGUAAGAAUUUAACUUGGAUUCAUCCAUUAUGGAGCUUAUUGUCCAUUUAAGUCUCUCUUAAUUAGUACUGUAGAAUUUUACUCAUCUGUUUUCAGUUUAAACUCUGUGAAGGUUUAUACUUUUAUUUCAAAAUCACAUAGUACCAUAUUAAUAUUUUUAUCUCUUUCCUCUUCUUCAAAAUGAACAAUGAAAUUAGGUACUUCAGGACUCUGGGCUCUUUUAUCAAUAAUAUUUCUCUCCAUAUGAUACUGCACAGGCAAGAGCAAGGGUUUACAAAAAUACACAAACUGGAUUUUGCCUUUGAUUAACUUGGGCUUCAGAAAGUUGAUGUCUCACUAACUUUUAGAAAGCUUUUAGAAAGUCAGUAUUCCUCAGGGCAUCAAACUUCCACAGAGGACAGUCCUAACAGUAGGAGUUGCCUGGCAUCAUAGAAUGUUCUUCCUGGAAGGGGGGGGCACUUUGUGCCUGUAUCUCUGCCUAUGUCUGUAGAAUCUUUUUCCAUCACUUCCUGUCCUGUAGCGCCUCACUUGGUAGCUUUUCUGCACCACUCACCAUGCUGGUUAAGGCUGUAUGGAUGCAAGUUUCUGGUCUCUGCAGAAACUGUUCCCUUCAUUUGGAAUUCCCAUCUCCUCAUCUCUUCCUGUUGAAUUCUAUGUAUUCUUGCAUAUCCAGCUCAAUCACCAUUCUUCUUUGUUAAAGUCUAGACUGUGAUCUCCUUGAAGUCGGAUACUGAGACUCAUAUUCUGUUUUGUGUUGCUACAAGCACAGUCUUGUGAGUACAGGGGUGUUAAGUGAAAAGCUUGUUGAAUGAAUGAAGGCAUGAAAGGAUGAAUAGAUGAUAUAUAGUCCUGCCUACCUAAGACUUCUUGAGGUUUCUUCCAAACCACCUCCUCCCCAAACUCUUCCACCAACAUCUCAGGCAGACUAGGAAUGGCUCCUGGCUAAGAACAUAAUGCAAUUCUUAGCAGUAAUAAUUUAAAACCUUUUGAUCUCAUUUUAGUAGCCAAGGGAAAGGCUAUUAUGAGUUUAUGGCUCAUCCAUGGACUUUUCAUAUUUUCUGCAAAGCCAUUUGUGGGGGUGGUUGGAAAUCAUACUUACUUUGGAUUAAAAUAUAGUAGCAAUUUGGAAGAGGGAGAAAGGAGAGAAAGAAGAUUGGCUUAAAAAACUGCAAAAUUAGGGGCAUCUGGCUGGCUCAGUUGGAAGACCAUGUGACUCUUGAUCUCGGGGGUCAUAAGCUUGAACCCCACGUGGGUGUAGAGAGUGCUAAAAAAUAAUAAACUUAAAAAACUUGCAUAAUUAAAACAAAUUUUUGAUGGUAAGUUAGUCCUCUCUUCAACCUCCCUCCCCUUGCUGUUAUAUCCGCAAACCUUUAGUGAUAUCUGCUGGAGUUACAAACAUCUUCUGUAAGAUGUAGCCUUUUGCUUAUAAUUGAAGAAUAGAGCCAAAUUCCACAUUCAAAUUGACAAGGUGUGGAAGAAGGAGAGAAAAACAGAGAAGUAACUGUAUGUUUUGUUCAGUGCUAUAUAUGAAGAACCCAAACAGUAAAUGACACGGAAUGGGUGCUUAAAUAUUUGUUGAAUGAAUUUUAAAAAUCCACAAACCUAAGACUGGUAAAACAGAAGUAGGAGCUUAGAGCCAGAGAAUUUAGCAACCUUCAAAUUUGCACAAAUCUUGUGAAAUGAUGCGGGGAUGGAGAGGUGCUGAAUUUCACAGUGCAGGAGUGCUUUGAGUCAAUCUUAUCUUGAUCUCAAGAUUUAGGGAGACUCAGCUGGCAUAGAGGUUAAAUAAUGCAAAAGAGAAGAAACUGUAACUUGAAUCAAAGAUGUCUUAAGGAAGGACUGGUACAUGUCCGGUGAUUUUGAAACCAACACAAAUGAACUUAGUGCUGAGAGAUUAUGUGGAGAAGACACUGAAUUUUGAAGAUUACUGGAAAAAGUUGAAAAUUGCAGUGAUGUAUUACGUAGAAAUAUAGUGGUUAUGUGUUCUGCCUGGAGGAAGGCAAGAGAACAUUUUCUGACUUUCCGAGUGAAACAAUUUCCUGAACAAUGUGAGAAUGAAGGGGGCACAGAGACAGUGUUAGAGAGUCACCCCUGAAGAAGAAGGCUUUGUGCAUUUGAUGUGUUCUUCAUUUUAAAGCUGCCAAGAAUAAAAUAGUUCUUUACUUGACAUCUAACAAUGAACACAGCAAUUUCUACCUCUGAGGAAAUUACUCAGAACAGUAAACUUAUCUGAAGAGUGUCAUGGUCCAAAGAAGAAAUGAACAUCAGAGCAUCUAGCUAAUAAAAAUAACUACCAAAAUGAUAUUAAGCAAGCUACAAAGUUUCCAACUGAAUUGUCAUGAACACUUCUUGAAGUGGAUAUGAUUAUAUCCUCAUUUUACAGAAAAGGCGCUUGAAGCUCACAGAGAAUAACUUGCCCAAAGAUAGGUCUCUAGUAAUAGCAGUAGUAGUAAUGAGCAGUAAUCACUUACUGAGCAUCUAAAAUGUACCAGAUACUGUGCUGAGUACUGUACAUAUAUUUCAACAGUACCUAGGUCACAACAACUCCUUAGGGUCCAUAUUUUUCUUUUUUAUAACCAUUUACAGAUGAAGAAACUGAGACAGAGUCAGUGGGAGAACUAGGAAGUGUCAGAGAUGGGACAAAAGUCCAGAGUCUGUCUGUGUUUUUGACGGCUAUGUUUUAUUGUCUACUAGAAAGCUGCUAUUUGGAAGCCAAGCCUGUCUGUCACAGGGGCCCACACUGUGAGCCAUGCCUUUCUACUACCACCAUGUUCUACUCAGUGAUACCGCGGAACUUCUAUUGCAGUUUAUGUCUUCCUUGGACAAACACACUGGAUACCAAGUAGACACAUGUGGACAAAUUCCUGCUGUUACAUAGGUCAAAUAGCUGGAGGGUAUGGUGAGAGCCAGGAUUUGGGCACAGGCAUAUUCAACCCCAAGUUGUAUGCUCUUUAAUUUGUACUGCACUAGGUAACUUUUGUGAAAAGUCCUGAAGACACUAUGGCAAACCAGCUUUUUCAGUGUCAUUGAAGUGGAUAGUUUUUACUGAACUCCCUUUCUACCUCCCUCUGGACAAAGAGGCAGAAAGUCUAAGUUUAAAUGCCAGCACUCCAACUUACAAGGGUGCAAAUUUGGGUAAAGUGACCUUUCUGAGCUUCUCCGUUCUCAUCUGUUAAAAUGGGAAUAAUUAUACCCACUUUACAAAGCUGUGUGGAAGAACUCAGUAAAGGGAGUGAACACUGUAGGCACUUGAUAGACAGUAGUUUCUUCUCUUUUCUUUCCUUGCUCCUUUCUCUCUCAUCUCUUUCUUCUCCUGGGCAAAGCAAAAGGUAUCACCAUUUUUAAACGCUAUAAGCACCGUGCCAAUUAGUGUAUAUUUGUGUGUACUGAUAAGACUUAUCCACAGACAGUAGAGAAGAAAAGGGGUCCUAUGGAAUGAAAAGAUUUGAGAAUUUUUUCAGGGACUUCAACUGCAAGUCCUACUGAAUUCUCUAAUGUACUUUAUAUCUCAGGCCAGCUCAAGGCCAGUGUGGAUUGGGAAGCACAUUCCACAGAUCAAGUACCAUCUCAUUCUAUGUGCUCAUGGCUUCACAUCUAUAAAUCCCAGAUUGUCUUUUGUGUACACCACAGUUACUAGCACAAAAGGAAAGGCAAGGUCAGGGAAGUAACAAGACACUCUGUCGAAUUCUUUAUGUCGGAAAUCAAAUGGAAUCCUUAAAACACUCCAGCAAAGUAGGUCCUCAUACUUCCUUUCAUAAUGCUGAGGGUUAAGGUGGCAGUUGUGGGACUUAAUCUGGUUUUGUUUAACUCUGAAGCUGAGGAUCUUCCUACGACUAUAGCAGACUGCCUUCCUUUAGGUACUUUAUAAAGCAUGAGCUAAAUGGAGACAGUUCUUAGGCUUAUGAAAAGCUUUCCAGUCAGAACUACUCCUUGUCUCCUAUUUUGGUGAAUGAUUAUGGGACUCUUUCACAGACACCUUAAGUCACACUUGAUGGAACUCAGGCUCCAUGCUUUUCACAUGUAGAAGUUACAGGGUCAGCAUUUGGGAGAAUGUUUAUUUCCUUUUGAGUAAUUUGUCUGCGAACAGAAUAGGCUGCCACUAACUAGGCGUGUAGUGGCUGUGCCUGGAGCAGGGGUUCACGGCUGGGACGUCUGCUCUGUGCACAUUCCUGUGAUGAAUGAGAAGGCAAGUUUAGCAGGGGCUUUCCCCCAACUCUCUUUGAAAUGAAAGAAGAAAAAAAUCAAACAACAAAUAACUUCUUUAAAAUAGCUAAGUGUAACUUCCUUGAUAUAGCUGCGUGUUAGAAGUGCUUGCCUUUCUUAGCUGCCUAGAGAGAUACCUGACAAAUGUCCAUCAGGAAAAAAGAAAAGGAACUGCUUCUCUAGGUUCCCUGCUCCAAAUUUAUUCCAUGGAGGCAAAACACAAUGGAUAGGAAAGUGGGAGCCCUCAACUUAUGAUCUGGGUGGAAGGAAGCUCUGUCAUAUCCGUCUGUUGUCUCUCCUAAUCAGAACCAGCUCUUUCUCCUUCCGAAGGGGUCUUCUUUCUUAAUCCUUUCCUUUUUAGAGGGAAACUCACUUAAGCCCUCCUUCCUUCUUAACCUCUUUAUGUUUUAGGUUGGGUGUUUAAUAAAAUGAAACUUGUGUUUAAGCAUCCACUCCUUAGCUUUAACAGAGAAUCCAAAACAUCCAUUUUUCCAAAGCAGAGUUGGUUAAACCAGAAGCAUUUAAACAAAACAUAUCAUGUUUUUUUUUAAGUUUAUUCAUUUAUUUUGAGAAAUAGAGAUUGAGAGCACACAAGUGGGAGAGGGGUAGAGAGAGAGGGAGAGAGAGAAUCCCACCCAGGCUCGGCAGCUGUUAGCGCACAGCUCAACACGGGGCUCGAUCUCAUGUCAUGAACUGCAAGAUCACGACCUGACCUGAAAUCAAGAAUCCUGAACCAAAAUCAAGAGUCCGAUGCUUAACAAACUGAGCCACCCAGGCGCCCCAUAUUAUGCUUUUAAUUGGGAAAAGCGAAAGGCAUUAAUGGAGAACCUAUUAUAUGACAGGCACACCAUAUGUGUUUGAUCUAAUAUAAUCCUUACAAAAAUCUUAUAGAAAGAAGGUUUUAUUAUUCCCAAGCUUAAUAAAAAGAAGACAGCUUCAAAGAGGUUAAUUUGCCCAGGAGCACUGAGAGAAAAUAUAUCUAUUUUCUAGACAUGCCUUAAUAAACUUUUCAUGUUUUCACAAACAUUAGUUCCAUCAGUACAGAUAGGAACCACAUCAGUUUUGUUUAUGUGGAAUCCUCAACACCUAGGAGAGUUCUUCACACUUAAUAGAUGCUCAAAAAGUAUUUUUGAAUGAACUUAUUUGCACUUUGCUACAUAAAUGGAUAUAUUAGCUUUCAAAAUUAAUAAAAUAGAGAAAGAAAACACAUAAUAGAUGUGUAUAGACUCAAGGAGAAAAACAAUGGUAGCAUAAUAUAAAGCCAAAAGCAAGUCUAGUACUAAAAUGGAUACCAUGAGUUCCAUUUUUCUUUUUUUAUAUUUAUUUAUUUUUGAAAGAGACAGAGACAGAGUGGGAGCGGGAGGGGGGCAGAGAGAGAGGGAGCCACAGAAUCCAAAGCAGGCUCUAGGCUCUGAGCUGUCAUCAUAGAGCCCGAUGCGGGGCUCGAACCCACAAACUGUGAGAUCAUGAUCUGAGCUGAAGUCAGAUGCUUAACUGACUGAGCCAUCCAGGCACCCCAAGUUCCAUUUUUCUAAGAUAUUUAUUUCUAACUAGGAACACUGAAUCCUAAUCAGUUACACAAUAUCUAGUUUCUUUAAGGCAGGAAACAAACUAAUUGCUCUAGACAUGCAUAGCCCUUCUAAAAAGAAAUUUUCUCCUUCCUAAGGAAUUUUGUCCUAGGAAAAGGCACUGGAAAAUAUAAUGAAUAAUGUUCCAAAAAUAUCUUUAAGGUAGACAUGACAAUGAAUGCAUUCUAUUAGGCCGUUUCUUACUGUGUCUAUCCAUAAUGGCCAGUAGCAUCACACUAGAGCAUAAUCCAAUAAACAUCAUCAUGUCAGUCGAAUAUGAGCUUAAAAAACUAGCAGAAUGAAGACUUUUACUUAAGUCUCAGUUUGCACAGAUGGUACUUAUCUCUCUGAUGCUGGCAACUCAUAUUUGAACUACAUUACAAAUGUAUUUUGUUUAAUUAUUUGCUUGGAGCCCGUCCAAAGUUUUUAAUAUCUAUCAGCCUUUAUGAUUGAUUCUUCUAGUACUUUGCAACCCACCAAGUAUCAUCACAACCACAAUGAGAGUGAAGAGAGACAUAUGUGAUCCAAGAAUCUGAGCGAGAUGACUCAGUCAGCAUCUUCUCCCUUGGUGUACAAGGGUAGGGACUGCUACUGUGUCAUCUGGAGCAUGACAAUGAGAACACAGUCACUGGUUUUUCCUGAUAUAGCUUGCAAUCCAUCUGGGACUCUAGACAUCCAUUCUCAUUCACAUUCAUGCACAUCCCCUAUUACUCCAACUCCUACACCUUUUGGCAGGAAAUAUCCACACAGCUGGACUGGAUUCAUAGGAUGUUUUUAUUUUUUGCCUCAUUAAACUGUAGCUUUCCUCAA
This 18304-nucleotide long non-coding RNA is filed under the name Lynx pardinus (Iberian lynx). The record is from RNAcentral. Lineage: Eukaryota; Metazoa; Chordata; Mammalia; Carnivora; Felidae.